Molecule: ribosomal RNA, 199 nt
Filed under: uncultured bacterium
Lineage: Bacteria
Description: partial 16S ribosomal RNA
Rfam family: Bacterial small subunit ribosomal RNA
Source: RNAcentral
GCAGGCUGCAACCCGCCUGCAUGAAGUCGGAAUUGCUAGUAAUCGCGGAUCAGCAUGCCGCGGUGAAUACGUUCCCGGGCCUUGUACACACCGCCCGUCACACCAUGGGAGCCGGUAAUACCCGAAGUCAGUAGUCCAACCUCGUGAGGACGCUGCCGAAGGUAGGAUUGGCACUGGGGCGAAGUCGUAACAAGGUAAC